This 262-nucleotide ribosomal RNA is filed under the name uncultured bacterium. RNAcentral's name for it is "partial 16S ribosomal RNA". It matches the Rfam family "Bacterial small subunit ribosomal RNA", at positions 793 to 1055 of the family's 1533-position model. The record is from RNAcentral.
GUCCACGCCGUAAACGAUGGGUGCUAGGUGUGGGGGUGUCGACUCCCUCCGUGCCGAAGCUAACGCAUUAAGCACCCCGCCUGGGGAGUACGGCCGCAAGGCUAAAACUCAAAGGAAUUGACGGGGCCCGCACAAGCAGCGGAGCAUGUGGUUUAAUUGGACGCGACGCCAAGAACCUUACCAAGGCUUGACAUGGUCGGGAAAAAACGUGGAAACACGUUCCUCCUUCGGGACUCGAUCACAGGUGGUGCAUGGCUGUCGU